This 27-nucleotide small RNA is filed under the name Bombyx mori (domestic silkworm). RNAcentral's name for it is "ovarian small RNA-34671". Lineage: Eukaryota; Metazoa; Arthropoda; Insecta; Lepidoptera; Bombycidae. The record is from RNAcentral.
UGGAUGAUGCUUGGCUUUUAUGUGAGG